UACAGAGGGGGCAAGCGUUGUUCGGAAUUACUGGGCGUAAAGGGCGCGUAGGCGGCCUUCUAAGUCGAACGUGAAAUCCCCGGGCUCAACCCGGGAACUGCGUCCGAUACUGGAAGGCUUGAAUCCGGGAGAGGGAUGCGGAAUUCCAGGUGUAGCGGUGAAAUGCGUAGAUAUCUGGAAGAACACCAAAGGCGAAGGCAGCGUCCUGGGAAGUAACUGACGCUCAGGUGCGAAAGCCAGGGGAGCGAACGGG
This 253-nucleotide ribosomal RNA is filed under the name uncultured bacterium. RNAcentral's name for it is "partial 16S ribosomal RNA". It matches the Rfam family "Bacterial small subunit ribosomal RNA", at positions 524 to 776 of the family's 1533-position model. The record is from RNAcentral.